GACGAACGCUGGCGGCGUGCUUAACACAUGCAAGUCGAACGGAAAGGCCCUGCUUUUGUGGGGUGCUCGAGUGGCGAACGGGGGAGUAACACGUGAGUAACCAGCCCCUGACUUUGGGAUGACUUCAGGAAACUGGGGCUAAUACCGGCAAGGAGCUCCUGCUGCAGGGUGGGGGUUGGAAAGUUUCGGCGGUUGGGGAUGGACUCGCGGCUUAUCAGCUCGUUGGUGGGGUAGUGGCUUACCAAGUCUUUGACGGGUAGCCGGCCUGGGAGGGUGACCGGCCACCUUAGGCCUGCGAUACGGCCCAGCCCCCAACGGUACGCAGCAGUGGGGAGUAUUGUACAGUGGGCGGAAGCCUGAUGCGGCAACGCCGCGUGCGGGAUGACGUCCUUCGGGUUGUGAACCGAUUUCGCCUGUGACGAAGCGUGAGUGACGGUAAUGGGUAAAGAAGCACCGGCUAACUCCGUG
Molecule: ribosomal RNA, 468 nt
Filed under: uncultured bacterium
Lineage: Bacteria
Description: partial 16S ribosomal RNA
Rfam family: Bacterial small subunit ribosomal RNA
Source: RNAcentral